GUAGGUGGCAAGCGUUGUCCGGGAAUUAUUGGGGCGUAAAGCGCGCGCAGGCGGUUCUUUAAGUCUGAUGUGAAAAGCCCACGGGCUCAACCGUGGGAGGGUCAUUGGAAACUGGAGAACUUGAGCACAGAAGAGGAAAGCGGAAUUCCACGUGUAGCGGUGAAAUGCGUAGAGAUGUGGAGGAACACCAGUGGCGAAGGCGGCUUUCUGGUCUGUAACUGACGCUGAGGCGCGAAAGCGUGGGGAGCAAACAGGAUUAGAUACCCUGGUAGUCCACGCCGUAAACGAUGAGUGCUAAGUGUUAGGGGGUUUCCGCCCCUUAGUGCUGCAGCUAACGCAUUAAGCACUCCGCCUGGGGAGUACGGCCGCAAAGGCUGA
Molecule: ribosomal RNA, 378 nt
Filed under: uncultured organism
Description: partial 16S ribosomal RNA
Rfam family: Bacterial small subunit ribosomal RNA
Source: RNAcentral